RNAcentral lists this ribosomal RNA (433 nucleotides) under uncultured bacterium. RNAcentral describes it as "partial 16S ribosomal RNA". It matches the Rfam family "Bacterial small subunit ribosomal RNA", at positions 29 to 507 of the family's 1533-position model. The record is from RNAcentral.
AACGAACGCUGGCGGCAUGCCUAACACAUGCAAGUCGAACGAGACCUUCGGGUCUAGUGGCGCACGGGUGCGUAACGCGUGGGAACCUGCCCUUAGGUUCGGAAUAACUCCCCGAAAGGGGUGCUAAUACCGGAUAAUGUCUUCGGACCAAAGAUUUAUCGCCUUUGGAUGGGCCCGCGUUGGAUUAGCUAGUUGGUAGGGUAAAAGCCUACCAAGGCGACGAUCCAUAGCUGGUCUGAGAGGAUGAUAAGCCACACUGGGACUGAGACACGGCCCAGACUCCUACGGGAGGCAGCAGUGGGGAAUAUUGGACAAUGGGCGAAAGCCUGAUCCAGCAAUGCCGGGUGAGUGAUGAAGGCCUUAGGGUUGUAAAGCUCUUUUACCCGGGAUGAUAAUGACAGUACCGGGAGAAUAAGCUCCGGCUAACUCCGUG